AGUGAACGCUGGCGGUAGGCCUAACACAUGCAAGUCGAACGGCAGCACAGUAAGAGCUUGCUCUUACGGGUGGCGAGUGGCGGACGGGUGAGGAAUACAUCGGAAUCUACUUUUUCGUGGGGGAUAACGUAGGGAAACUUACGCUAAUACCGCAUACGACCUACGGGUGAAAGCAGGGGAUCUUCGGACCUUGCGCGAUUGAAUGAGCCGAUGUCGGAUUAGCUAGUUGGCGGGGUAAAGGCCCACCAAGGCGACGAGCCGUAGCUGGUCUGAGAGGAUGAUCAGCGACACUGGAGGUGAGGCACGGUGCAGAGUGCUACGGGAGGCAGCAGUGGGGAAUAGGGGACAAUGGGCGGAAGCCUGAUGGAGGGAUGCGGCGUGGGUGAAGAAGGCGUUCGGGUUGUAAAGGCGUUGUGGUGGGAAAGAAAAGCAGCAGGUGAAUACCCCGCUGGUCUGACGGUACCGAAAGAAGAAGCACCGGCUAACUUCGUG
Molecule: ribosomal RNA, 492 nt
Filed under: uncultured bacterium
Lineage: Bacteria
Description: partial 16S ribosomal RNA
Rfam family: Bacterial small subunit ribosomal RNA
Source: RNAcentral